Molecule: ribosomal RNA, 253 nt
Filed under: uncultured bacterium
Lineage: Bacteria
Description: partial 16S ribosomal RNA
Rfam family: Bacterial small subunit ribosomal RNA
Source: RNAcentral
UACAGAGGUGGCAAGCGUUGCUCGGAAUUACUGGGCGUAAAGGGCGCGUAGGCGGUUCGUUAAGUCCUGUGUGAAAUCCCCCGGCUCAACUGGGGAACUGCACAGGAAACUAGCGGGCUUGAGCUCGGGAGAGGGAAGCGGAAUUCCGGGUGUAGCGGUGAAAUGCGUAGAUAUCCGGAGGAACACCGGUGGCGAAGGCGGCUUCCUGGACCGACACUGACGCUGAGGCGCGAAAGCUAGGGUAGCGAACGGG